GGCGCCGGGGGGCGGGGAGGGGGCGGAGCCUGGGGGCCUCAAGGCCCGCGCCCCUCCCGCGGCCUGACCUCCCUGAACGCUCGGCCGGUGACGUCACCCCGCCGUGACGCGCACGCAGUAGGAAAACUAGACAGGGCCUUGCUAUAUUGCCCAAGCUGGUCUUGAACUUCUGGCUUCAAGUGAUCCUUCUGGCUUAGCCUCCCAGAGUGCUGGGAUUACAGAUAAAAAUGAAUCCCAUUUCCCAUCCAGUACUGAAGUGUUAAGGUUAGAAGACAUUUGCUAAGUCAAAUCACUGGCCUGGCAACUUAAAUAGUAAUUUCAGCCAGUUUGCAUUUAAUGGAAGGAGACCAUUGUCUACUCAUGUACCUGUCUAACUCAUAAUGAAGCAGAACUCGGGAAAGAAAUUGAAGAAGAAAACAAAAUUGUGAAAUGAAAACAACAUUGGAAGGAGUACAAGAGAAUAAGAUGAUCUAGGAAAAACAGUGAGGUCAUGGAAAUUUGGCAAGAGAGAGGUGUGUUGAAGAAAGUAUGCACAUCUUAUCUUCUGAACAUUUUGAUGGAAUUAACCACAAAUUUUGUGCAAAAAUAGAAAAAGGAAAGAUACUAUUCAAGUCAAAUACAUCAUAAUGCAGAAUUCUUUAUCAGUACCACCCAAAGAUGAAGGCUAAACCGUAUUUUUCAAAAAAGAGGCAUGAAAACAACAUAAUAAGGCCAACUAUUUAAAUUUGUUGAAAGAAAGACAAAGUCACCACAGUGAUUAAAAAUGCAAGUGAAUUUAUUUAUUUGCCAUGUAAGAAAACUCACACAGGAGAGUGCCGCAGUGAAGAAUAUGAAUGCUUGAACAGUUUGUGGGCACCACCCUACUCGGCUAAGUUGCUAGAGAAGGUUUACCCCAUCGGCACCAAUGUCAAGUGCAAAUGUUGACACAAGGCAAAUGACAUCUCAAUAGGAGUGUGAAGAGAGUAUUUGGCACCCUCUCUGAGGUUCUGCAAACCCUACUUUGAGAAACACUGAUGUAAUCUAAUCCCCUCUUGCUAAAGAGAGGAAACUAUGGCCAGGAAGGAUUAAGGAUUAUUCUAGCAGCAUAAUCAGUCAAAGCCAGACGUCUACUCUCUGUCAUACACAUAAUGCAGUGUGUCUUGUUUUCGCUGAGGAACUCCUCCUCCAGCCUCCUGCGAAAAGAAAAUUCCUCAGAUCCAAAUCAUUACACCACAGCACUGAUGUAUUAUAGAGUUUACUAAGGGAGCAGGACUUGCCACAUGAGGAAUUUAGAAAUUCUUUUAGCAUUUUAGACUUUUCUUUCAGUCCUAAUGUUCUUAGGUGUCAUCAGUUUUAGAAGAAGGUGGUAUAAGAUUAAGAAGUAUCUAAGAAAUGUAUGUUAUUUUUAAAAUUUUAAAAGACCUUAGUAAUUUCUUUCUUCUUUUUUGCUCAUCAAAAAAAUCACCUUCUCACUGCUUAAAAGUGUCAUUAAAUGUAUUAUGUAAUUGUUGCUUCAAAAAGUCAGAUUCUGGUGUAAGCCUGAUUUGGUCACCAGCAGCUCUGUUAAAAGAAGGCGGUAGUUACAGUGCUAUAGGGCAUUGCAAAUUGCCGUGUGUGACUUCAUUAACUAUUUCUCCAGUAACCUUGCUGUAGAUUUCUCUUAGAAGAAGGACAUGUUCUUUCUCUGCUAACAGUUGCACUGUGACUGGAAAAAAGUUGUUCAAAAAGGUCUUUGUUUUCUCAGCAUUGAGAUGGAUUAUGUGGCACUCACCAGCCACUAGAAGAGAUAAAUUGACAAACAACUUGUUAGGCUCAGUGUGUUGGAAUCGAGGGAGCUUUGGUGCCAGACAGACCUGGUUAAAAGCCACCUCUCAAUACCUGCUUUGUGACCUUGCAAGGAAUGUUUUCUCCAUAUCUCCAUAUCUAUAGACUGGAGGUGUUAAUACCAAGAACUGGUGGAGGACUUGAGACAGUAGAUUAAGCAUUCAGUCUGACUUCUGAGGGGCAUUUUAACUUCAAAAUAGAACUUCAGGAAGAGUAGAAAGGGAUGAGUAGAGGCAGUGUAUAUCUACACAUCUGCCAUAGAUUGUCUCAGGAAGAAAAGGAAGGAGAUAGGGCCUAACGACUCUUUCUUGUUGCUGUUGUUUUUCUGUUUUUGUGUUCAGCAGUAGCACAGCUGAAGGAAGGCACGUUAAUAUGGUUGAGAAUUAAUAGUUUGCUCCUUCAGUAAAAAAAUAUGUUGCACAACUGCCAGCUGCCGAUCUGGAGACUGAGGCCCUAGCAGUAACAAAACAAGCCCCUGCUCUUUUGGAGCUUACAUUUUAGGGAGGAGACAGAAGCAGAAAAAGAAAACAGCAAGUGAUUGCAUGGGGCUGAGCAGCUCCGUUGAGAUAGGAUGGUCACACAGGCCAGCCUCCCUGAGAGCUGGGGGAGCUCACCAAUGGGGCAGAAUCCCCAAGGCACGAGGGGCAUGGAAGGAAAGGUAGUGUCCAGAGCAGGGUUGGGAAUACUUGACUUCCUUAUUUUCAGAUGCACCUUUUUGUCAGGACUUGAGUAUUGUAUAUUUAGAGUGAUAGUACUUCUCUUCCUUGCCCCCACCACAGAAAAGGUUUUUUAUAAAUUUACUUAUGUGACAUAAUCAAAGAUAAAAAGAGAGUUUAGAAAUAGAAGGGAUAGUAAACGAGUUCCCACAUGAUAGCCUCUCUUUUUUCCAUGAAGAUAAUGUCAAAAAUCAUUGGCAAGACAGAGAUAGCCCUGGGGAAAGGGCAGAGGUGGGGCAGAGGGAGAGUGCCUCAGAAGAGCAGGGGGAACGUGGGCCACCUCAGUGAGGGACAGAAGAGAGUCUCUUAGGGACAAGUAAAUAGACUGUGGAAUCAGUUUUGAACUAGAAACUUUAAACUUAGAACAUUGUCCAAUGUUCACAAUGGUUGGAUUUUUCCAGCACCAAAUAACAGGCGGUAGAUGCGGAGAGCACAAGGUGGGGCCAGCUGGGCAAGGUUCUGUAGGAAGACAGCAAGGGGGUGAACCUGUGAUAUGAGCGGAGUGAGUGUGGAUGGUCAGCCACAAGGCCAGCUCUGAAAUGGGAAGAUCUACCUAAGGAGACCACUCACAAGCAUGCAUAGCCUCGAAGCAAGGAGAAGCAGUGAGCUGUGUCAUCACUUCAUCUCCAGGGAGAUGGGAGAAUUAAGUCUGACAUACUCCUCAUCUGUGCAUGAGAGUAGAUAGAUAUUCCCUUCAGCCAGCUUUCCUAAUCAUCACUAAAAGACAGUCAACAUAUUGGUGGAGAAGAAGAAUGGCAGAAUUCAAAGACAAAGGAAUCCAAAGUAGUCACUACCGCUUUCAUUAUAGAAAUAAGGAACAGUCAAGACUUACCAGCAGAAAUGUUAGGGAAUAAUUAUCCACAGAGCAAAGGAAUUCUUGACUUCUUAGAGAUCCAUGGCUGUCCAACCUUGUGCAUUUGUACUUAGAAAUCAUGAGCUAUGUGACAUAAAAGCUGAGGUAUAGAAAAACAUGCAGCAAAAAAAGUUGUAAAUCACUUUGAGUUAAAGAUAAAUCAGCAGAGAUGAUAAAGCAUCUGUAAAACUGUACUAUAAAGCAGUGAAACAAUUCCUUUUUUAAACUGUAGUUUGUACAUUCCUCAAAAAUACCUCUUUUAGAUAAAGUGAACUUACUUUUGAAAUUACAGUAUAAAAAGAUGCCUUUGUAAUUUUGGUUCCCUGUGUUUAGCUAUACUGUUGUUGAAACGUUGUGAUUUUUACCACUUUAGUUUCAUAAUCAUAGUGUUUUGACCAAAGGCAAGAAAAUUCCUGCCUUUUGGAUGUGUCCUAGUUUAAUUGUUCCAACUGACUGCACAUUCUGAUGGUGAAACCUUAUCUUUCUGUUUAUCCCACUGAGGAAAAGAUUUCUUCACCGUCAUCUGGUUAGUCAUCCCAGAUACUUAACUGUUCUGCUAUUGAAAAAUAAAAGUAGGCCUGGUGCAAUGGCUCAUGCUUGUAAUUCCAACAUUUAGAGAACUGAGGUAGGAAGACCACUUGAGCCCAGAUAUUCGAGACCAGCCUGGGCCACAUAGUGAGACUUCAACUCUACAAAACAAUGUUUAAAAACUAGCCACAUAGGGUGGUAUGCACCCUAUUCCAACUUCUUGGGAGGCUGAGACAGGAGGAUCACUUGAGCCCAGGAGUUUACAGGGUGAGCUGUGAUCGAUCAUACCAUUGCACUCAAGCCUGGGUGACAGAGCAAGACCCUGUCUCAAAAGAAAAAGAAAAUGUAAGCUGGGCGCGAUGGCUCACGCCUGUAAUUCCAGCACUUUGGGAGGCCGAAGUGGGUGGAUCACGAGGUCAAGAGAUUGAGACUAUCCUGGUCAACAUGGUGAAACCCCGUCUCUACUAAAAAUGAAAAAAAUUAGCUGGGCAUGGUUGCGGGUGCCUGUAAUCCCAGCUACUCAGGAGGCUGAGGCAGGAGAAUUGCCUGAACCCAGGAGGGGGAAGUUGCGGUGAGCCGAGAUCGCGCCAUUGCACUCCAGCCUGGGUAACAAGAGCGAAACUUCAUCUCAAAAAAAAAAAGGAAAAGAAAAUGUAAAAAGAAGGGCCUAUUUUUAAUUUGUUGGUGGACGAUUUCUUGCCAUGACAUAUCUGUGCGGCUCAUUAAGGCUCAUUUGCAGAUGUUUUCAUGUUCACCGGCUCCAUUGAAAAACAGCUGACUCGGCAAAUGUCAGAGUGUCCUGGAAGGACAGUGUACACAGGUAUUUGUGAUGAUGACAUGAGGUCCAAUGAAAUGAUCUGCUGCUUUUUACCAUGUUAGAGUUCAGUUAUCAAGGUCUAAAUUCCAACUGUGUGACUCAGCUGAAUAUUAACAGUUUGAGUGAUAAUAACAGAAAGAAUAUUGAGAGAAUAGGGUUAGCAAAGCAUUUCAGAAGUUUGUGUUUAUCUUGCUCAGUGUCUUUGGAAGGUCAUUAGCUCUCCUCAGUCAUUCUGAGAUUUGAGUCAAGAUACUGGCUUGAAUGUUUUGUAAUAAUGAAUACAAUCUUAUGCAUGCUACAAAUUAUUUUUGCCAAAAAGUAAGCAACUUUAUCUUUCUAAAUGUAUUAAAACAAAAACAUUUCAUAUGGCUUUCAACCAUUUUUAUCAGAAGCAUUCCAAAUCAAAACCAGUUCCUUCCAGAAAGAACUAAUAAAAGCUUCAUAAUUAGAAUGAAGAAGAAAUUUGUUGAAAUUGAGAAUCAUUAAAAUAUAUAUUAAGUGGUUAACCUUUUUAAAUGUACUUUUUACUUAGGACAUUAAUUCUGUGGCCCUGAAAGAAUGAAUAGUUACUUCAGUUUACCAACCACAUUGUGUUAUUUUUUUUAACUGCCCUUAAUAUUCUAGGUAACUGGCUUUUAAAUUCUUUCAUAAAGAAUGCUUGUUUCCUCUUGCGGCAUGAUGUGGUCAGCCUGCCGCAUUCUGGGUUCUGCGUCUGUGGGUUCUGCAUCCAUGGAUUCAACUAACCACAGGUUGAAAAAAAAUUUUUAAUUGCAUCGGUACUGAACACUUUUUUCCCCGUGUCAUUAUUCCCUAAACAAUAUGGUAAAAUAACUACAUAGUAUUUACAUUGUACUGGGUAUUAUAAGCAUCUAGAGAUGAUUUGGGGUAUACAAGAGGUGGUAUGUAUAGGUUAUAUGCAAACACUAUGCCAUUUCCAUCAGGGAUUUGAGUACCUUUGGAUUUGAGUGUCUGAAGGAGAUCACUGUGCUGCGGAGGAACCAAUCCCCUACAGAUGCUAAGGGACAACUAUAUUUAUAUAUCUCAUUUAGUCCAUUUUAGGGGCUACAGUUCCUCUUUCGGUACCUAACUUUUCUUUCUGUACUCAAGGUGUCUUAAAACUUACAAUGAUUUAUUUGGCAAAAUACUAUAGUCUACAAAGCAAGUGUCCCUAUCCCUGCUCUAGGCUCCAUCCCCCAUCACAGGGCCACUGAGAUCUGUACUCACCCCACUUUCUGAACAACUACUAGCAUAAUUGCUUUCUU
Non-coding RNA from Callithrix jacchus (white-tufted-ear marmoset), 5979 nucleotides. NCBI's taxonomy places the organism in Eukaryota, Metazoa, Chordata, Mammalia, Primates, Cebidae. The record is from RefSeq and is a predicted model, not a curated record.